UACGGAGGAUCCAAGCGUUAUCCGGAAUCAUUGGGUUUAAAGGGUCCGUAGGCGGUUUGGUAAGUCAGUGGUGAAAGCCCAUCGCUCAACGGUGGAACGGCCAUUGAUACUGCCAGACUUGAAUUAUUAGGAAGUAACUAGAAUAUGUAGUGUAGCGGUGAAAUGCUUAGAGAUUACAUGGAAUACCAAUUGCGAAGGCAGGUUACUACUAAUGGAUUGGACGCUGAUGGACGAAAGCGUGGGUAGCGAACAGG
RNAcentral lists this ribosomal RNA (254 nucleotides) under uncultured bacterium. RNAcentral's name for it is "partial 16S ribosomal RNA". It matches the Rfam family "Bacterial small subunit ribosomal RNA", at positions 524 to 776 of the family's 1533-position model. The record is from RNAcentral.